This 422-nucleotide ribosomal RNA is filed under the name uncultured bacterium. RNAcentral describes it as "bacterial SSU rRNA". It matches the Rfam family "Bacterial small subunit ribosomal RNA", at positions 355 to 774 of the family's 1533-position model. The record is from RNAcentral.
UGAGGAAUAUUGGGCAAUGCCCGCAAGGGUGACCCAGCAACGCCGCGUGGAGGAUGAAUGUCGUAAGAUUGUAAACUCCUGUUAGAGGGGAAGAAUAGUACCGGUUGGACCGGUAUAUGACUGUACCCUCAGAGAAAGCCCCGGCUAACUACGUGCCAGCAGCCGCGGUAAUCCGUAGGGGGCAAGCGUUGUCCGGAUUUACUGGGUGUAAAGGGCGCGCAGGCGGGAUAAAAAGUCAGUGGUGGAAUCCUACAGCUUAACUGUAGAACUGCCUUUGAUACUUUUAUUCUUGAGUUCGGGAGAGAGAGACGGAAUUCCAGGUGUAGUGGUGAAAUACGUAGAUAUCUGGAAGAACACCAGUUGCGAAGGCGGUCUCUUGGUCCGACACUGACGCUGAGGCGCGAAAGCGUGGGGAGCAAACA